UGAGGAAUAUUGGUCAAUGGCCGGAAGGCUGAACCAGCCAAGUCGCGUGAGGGAAUAAGGCUCUAUGGGUCGUAAACCUCUUUUGUCAGGGAGCAAAGGCGUCCACGUGUGGACGAAAGGAGAGUACCUGAAGAAAAAGCAUCGGCUAACUCCGUGCCAGCAGCCGCGGUAAUACGGAGGAUGCGAGCGUUAUCCGGAUUUAUUGGGUUUAAAGGGUGCGUAGGCGGAGUGUCAAGUCAGCGGUAAAAUUUCGGGGCUCAACCCCGUCGUGCCGUUGAAACUGACACCCUUGAGUGAGUGAGA
Molecule: ribosomal RNA, 303 nt
Filed under: uncultured bacterium
Lineage: Bacteria
Description: bacterial SSU rRNA
Rfam family: Bacterial small subunit ribosomal RNA
Source: RNAcentral